Molecule: long non-coding RNA, 549 nt
Organism: Girardinichthys multiradiatus
Lineage: Eukaryota; Metazoa; Chordata; Actinopteri; Cyprinodontiformes; Goodeidae
Exons: 3
Source: RefSeq, a predicted model, not a curated record
ACUCCCCCUCUGAGAUCCAACCAAGCACCUGGUAGGAAGCAACACACACACAUAGGUUACCUGCAUGCGCAGCUCCAGAUCUCGGGCUGCCUGGUAGAUCUCCUCCUCCUCGCACUCUCCAGACUGAGCCAGCUGAUCCGCAGCUUCCAGAAGCUUCUCCGCAUUAGUCGCUCGCGCUCGGUGGAGAGACUUCCCCACACCGGUGUGUUUGUUGAGGAAGACCUCACCGUGCUGCUCCACCCAGUCCAACACCUGACAGAAAGGUAGGUGAAAGGAAAAUCUGUGAGAACAAACUUAGAUCUAACUCACAACUUUUCUUAAAAUCAGGUGUACCUGAACCUGUUUUAAUCUACAUUUCUAUCUGAAUCUGAGUUUAAAUGGAAUGCAACUCAAGAUAAAAGUAUGGAUUUUUAAACAUAAUUUACACUAGAAUUUGAUUAAAUUCAAAUCAAUAUCCAGAUCUGGAUUGUUGAUUUUGAUUCAAAUCUAAUUUCAGUUUAAAGUCAGAUCUGGAUUUGGACCAGAUUUUAAAUAUGAUUCUAAAUUCUG